This 770-nucleotide ribosomal RNA is filed under the name uncultured bacterium. RNAcentral describes it as "bacterial SSU rRNA". It matches the Rfam family "Bacterial small subunit ribosomal RNA", at positions 28 to 793 of the family's 1533-position model. The record is from RNAcentral.
AUUGAACGCUGGCGGCAUGCUUUACACAUGCAAGUCGAACGGUAACAGGCCGCAAGGUGCUGACGAGUGGCGAACGGGUGAGUAAUGCAUCGGAACGUGCCCAGUCGUGGGGGAUAACGCAGCGAAAGCUGCGCUAAUACCGCAUACGAUCUAUGGAUGAAAGCGGGGGACCGUAAGGCCUCGCGCGAUUGGAGCGGCCGAUGUCAGAUUAGGUAGUUGGUGGGGUAAAGGCUCACCAAGCCAACGAUCUGUAGCUGGUCUGAGAGGACGACCAGCCACACUGGGACUGAGACACGGCCCAGACUCCUACGGGAGGCAGCAGUGGGGAAUUUUGGACAAUGGGCGCAAGCCUGAUCCAGCAAUGCCGCGUGCAGGAAGAAGGCCUCGGGUUGUAAACUGCUUUUUGUACGGAACGAAACGGUCUGGGUUAAUACCCUGGGCUAAUGACGGUACCGUAAGAAUAAGCACCGGCUAACUACGUGCCAGCAGCCGCGGUAAUACGUAGGGUGCGAGCGUUAAUCGGAAUUACUGGGCGUAAAGCGUGCGCAGGCGGUUUUGUAAGACAGGCGUGAAAUCCCGGGCUUAACCUGGGAAUUGCGCUUGUGACUGCAAGGCUGGAGUGCGGCAGAGGGGGAUGGAAUUCCGCGUGUAGCAGUGAAAUGCGUAGAUAUGCGGAGGAACACCGAUGGCGAAGGCAAUCCCCUGGGCCUGCACUGACGCUCAUGCACGAAAAGCGUGGGGGAGCAAAACAGGAUUANAUACCCUGGUAG